This 221-nucleotide unclassified non-coding RNA is filed under the name soil metagenome. Its description in RNAcentral is "partial internal transcribed spacer 1". The record is from RNAcentral.
CCGAAAUUUAAAACUCACAACGCGAGUCUCGUGCGGAAGCAAAUAUGACUGCCGAGACUUUGUGACUCUUCAAGUCUUCCUUUGCUCAAGUCAAACCACACUCGUGAAGCACAUGUGACGAGUCUGUGGGGAGCAUCGGGAGCACUGCGUUUCCUUCGGGAUUCACAGUCUAAAAAAACGAAUUGUAAAAGUAUAUAUAUAACAAAAAAAGACGAAAAAAU